Molecule: ribosomal RNA, 2842 nt
Filed under: uncultured Corallinales
Lineage: Eukaryota; Rhodophyta; Florideophyceae; Corallinales
Description: LSU rRNA
Rfam family: Eukaryotic large subunit ribosomal RNA
Source: RNAcentral
GAAUUUAAGCAUAUUAUUAAGCGGAGGAAAAGAAACUAACCAGGAUUCCCUCAGUAGCGGCGAGCGAAGCGGGAUUAGACCAAGCUGAAAAUCUCCAUGGGAGAAUUGUAGCAUGGGUAUUCUUGGGGUAUUCAGUAAACGUAAGUCGCAUGGAAUUGCGUACCACGGAGGGUGAGAGUCCCGUCCAGCGUUUACAGGAAUUUCCCGUACAAGAAUGCUUCAACCGAGUCGGGUAGCUUGAGAUCGCUGCUCUAAUAGGUGGUAAACUUCAUCUAAGUCUAAAUACUGGUGAGAGACCGAUAGCGAACAAGUACCGUGAGGGAAAGAUGGAAAGCACUUUGAAAAGAGGGUGAAAAGCACUUGAAACCGCCACGGGGGAAGCGGAUUGCGUCAGUGUGGUGCGGUGUCUGUUCAGCUACUUUUUAGGUAGUGUAUUCAGCACUAGCUUUGUCGGUAUGGCUGUUUUACUUUGGAUUUUGCAAAGUGGAAUGGUGAGGGCUCCCUUCGGGUUGAGGAUAUCGACGAAAUGACGCGAUUCGACCCGUCUUGAAACACGGACCAAGGAGUCUAGCACUACUGCGAGUCGAAGGGUGUAAAAACCUAUAGGCGCAGUGAAAGCGAACAUUGAGAAAUCUGAUACAGAUUAAGGAGGUGUUGAGUCAUUGACGAAAUAUCCUACCUAGAGCAGUAGUGCUGGGACCCGAAAGAUGGUGAACUAUGCCGGAAUAGGGCAAAGCCAGAGGAAACUCUGGUGGAGGCUCGUAGCGAUGCUGACGUGCAAAUCGCUCGUCGAAUUUGGGUAUAGGGGCGAAAGACUAAUCGAACCAUCUAGUAGCUGGUUCCCUCCGAAGUUUCUCUCAGGAUAGCGGGCCGACGAUGUGGGUUGUUUUGUGUGGUAAAGCGAAUGAUUAGCGUAUUUGGGGGUGAAAUACCUUCGGUCGAUUCUCAAACUUUAAAUACGCAAGAUAGAGAUGGUUGCUUAAUUGAACCUCUCUACUGAAAACGUCGGCCCUGUGGGCCACUUUUGGUAAGCAGAACUGGCGAUAUGGGAUGAACCAUUAGCGUGGUUAAGGCGUCUAAAUAACCGCUUACAGAUCCCACAAAAGGUGUUGGUUCAUCCAGACAGCAGGACGGUGGCCAUGGAAGUCGGAAUCCGCUAAGGAGUGUGUAACAACUCACCUGCCGAAUGAACUAGCCCUGAAAAUGGAUGACGCUGGCCAUGGAAGUCGGAAUCCGCUAAGGAGUGUGUAACAACUCACCUGCCGAAUGAACUAGCCCUGAAAAUGGAUGACGCUUAAGCGGUUUGCCGACACCACGCCGUUUUGACAAUAUGCGAUCAAAAUGAGUAGGAGGGCGUGGCGGUUUGUUGGGAAGAUUAAGACGCAAGUCUAAUUUGAACAGCCGCUAGUGCAGAUCUUGGUGGUAGUAGCAAAUAUUCAAGCGAGAUCCUUGAAGGGCGAAGCGGGGAAGGGUUCCACGCGAACAUUGAUUGGGCGUGGGUGAGUCGUUCCUAAGCCGGGUGGUAAUCGUUCUUCGAUCGGCGAAAGGGAAGCGGGUUAAAAUUCCCGCACACGGAUGUGAAAGCGGUGACGCAAGUUGAGGUGGAGACGUCAGUGGUGGCGCUAGGCAGAGUUCUCUUUUCUGUUUGACCUGUGAGUGCACGCUGUGGAAACCGAUUAUCGGGAGAAACAGGUGCUAAUGGGCAGAGCGUCGGGGUGUCCCCGGCGUCUAGCACGCCACCAAUGACCCUUGAAAAUCCAUCUGCAAUUACAUUUCACGCCGUGGCGUACCGAUAACCGCAUCAGGUCCCCAAGGUGAACAGCCUCUGCUCAAUAUGAACAAUGCAGGUAAGGGAAGUCGGCAAAAUAGACCCGUAACUUUGGGAAAAGGGUUGGCUCUAGUGGAGUGGGGGAUUUUUAAAUGGGUCUCAGUGUUUGUCGGCUUGCUGGCUAGGAAGGCUAAACUGAGGCAACUUGGUUUUCGGCUGACUCGUGCCGGCGAGUUUGGGGAUAUUGGGCUCCGCCUCCAGCAUACUCUAGACUAGAACUGCAACGGGCAAAGGGAAUCCGACUGUUUAAUUAAAACAAAGCAUUGCGAUGGCCGAGGUCGGUGUAGACGCAAUGUGAUUUCUGCUCAGUGCUCUGAAUGUCAAAGUGAAGAGAUUCAAACAAGCGCGGGUAAACAGCGGGAGUAACUAUGACUCUCUUAAGGUAGCCAAAUGCCUCGUCAUCUAAUUAGUGACGCGCAUGAAUGGAUUAACGAGAUUCCUACUGUCCCUAUCUGCUUCUAGCGAAACCACAGCCGAGGGAACGGGCUCGGCAAAACCGGCGGGGAAAGAAGACCCUGUUGAGCUUGACUCUAUUCUAGCUUUGUGACGCAAGUUAGGAGGUGUAGCAUAGGUGGGAGACUUCGGUCGCCAAUGAAAUACCACUACUCUUAAUCUUGUUUUACUUAUAGCGUAAGACUGCACGACCUUUAUGGUCUAUUCUGGCAUCAACCCAGGUUAUGGCAUACACCGUGUUUACAUGGCAAUGUCUCUGGGAAGCAGCGCGCAAGACACAUUUAGGAGGGGAGUUUGGCUGGGGCGGCACAUCUUCUACAAGACAACGAAGGUGUCCAAAGAUGAGCUCAGUGAGAACAGAAAUCUCACGUAGCGCAAAAGGGUAAAAGCUUGUUUGAUUUUGAUUUUCAGUGUGAGUUAAAAACGCGAAAGCGUGGCCUAUCGAUCCUUUCAAUAUUCGGAGUUUGAAGUGAGAGGUGUCAGAAAAGUUACCACAGGGAUAACUGGCUUGUGGCGGCCAAGCGUUCAUAGCGACGUCGCUUUUUGAUCCUUCGAUGUCGG